UAUGAAGGGGGCUAGCGUUGUUCGGAAUUACUGGGCGUAAAGCGCGCGCAGGCGGUCUUCCAAGUCAGUGGUGAAAGCCCGGAGCUCAACUCCGGAACUGCCAUUGAAACUGUUAGACUUGAGGAUGAGAGAGGUGAGUGGAAUUCCCAGUGUAGAGGUGAAAUUCGUAGAUAUUGGGAAGAACACCAGUGGCGAAGGCGGCUCACUGGCCCGAUACUGACGCUGAGGCACGAAAGCGUGGGGAGCAAACAGGG
Molecule: ribosomal RNA, 254 nt
Filed under: uncultured bacterium
Lineage: Bacteria
Description: partial 16S ribosomal RNA
Rfam family: Bacterial small subunit ribosomal RNA
Source: RNAcentral